Molecule: long non-coding RNA, 1098 nt
Organism: Dioscorea cayenensis subsp. rotundata (Guinea yam)
Lineage: Eukaryota; Viridiplantae; Streptophyta; Magnoliopsida; Dioscoreales; Dioscoreaceae
Exons: 5
Source: RefSeq, a predicted model, not a curated record
UUUCUUGGAGCGAGGGAAAGGUCAAUGGUGGUCGGAUCGAUCAUCGGAAACCCUCUCGCUGUGCAAGGCCUUCCGCCGGAGACGAAGAUGGUGGCCAUCCCCUUGAAAUGUCUGCCGGCCAAGAUGGAGACCUCGUCAUCAAUGAUCGAUGCUCAUUGAGACCAGAAACAUCGUCUGAGAUUAUCGGGGAAUGAUGAUUUUGUAUUUCAAAGAAGUAAUUUUUCAGUUUGAGAGAUUGAUGGAGAGAAGGAGGUAAAGAGGAGGGAUGCAAUGUAAUUCAAGAAGCAUCCCUUUUGAAAUAUGGGGCACCAUCUUUGAUUUGUUUUGAUUGUGUCUGUUUAAACCAUUGUCAUUGAUUAAUUUGUUAUGUUUUUUUCCUUUUAAUCUAUUUAAAAAUUUUACUCUUUGUUUGGCUUUAGGGCUGAAACAAAGAAGUUGGCAUGGGAGAUGAUUACUUUUAAUUAUGAUUCCAGUCCUGUUAGUGUCAAUGAGGGAUGAUGCUGAUGUAUUCUCUUGAUUUGAGUUUCUCUUCUACUGAUCAUAAGGUGUUCGUUUCAUGAGGUAUCCGUUCUUGAAUUUGUUCUUGAUUAUUGGAGAGAUGUAUGAAUUACUGUGUAGAUUAACGUCUAGAAGGAGACAAAGAAGAGGGGUGCAAUGUAGCUCGAGAUAAAUCCUUCUUGAGAUCCUCAUAACCAUCACCAAUUUGUUAUGCGAUGGGAAUGACAGAUAGUGUUGUAUCUCAAGGAAUAUUUUCAGUUUGAGGAUGGAAAUGAAGAAGUUGGUGUGGAAGAAGAUCUUCUUCAAUUAUAAUUUCAAGUGCCAUUAGCAUCAAUUAGAGAUGAUGUUGUAUCUCAAGGAAGUAAUUUUUCCAGUUUGAGGUAUUUUUGAUUUGAGUUUUUCUUCUAUACGUCAUGAUGUGUUCCAUGCAUUCAAUCAUUCAAUGUGUCUAUUGCUAAGUCAUGCACAAGAUCUUGGUUAUGUUAUAUCUAAUUUUUUUCCUGUGCAUCUAAUAGUUCAAUGUGUCUAUUGUUAAGUCAUGCAGAAGAUCUUGGUUAUGUUAUAUAUAACUUUUUUCCUGUGCAUCUAAUAGUUCAAUGU